AACUUGGUACCAUCAUCGGGUGAGGUGAAUUGAUUUUGAGCAAAAUGUUGCUAACCCCCAAAUGAAAAUGGACCGCAAAGUCCUUCAAGGACAUGAAUUUUUUUUUUUUUUUUUUUUUUUUUUUUUUUUGCGCAGUAGGGUAUCUGGGCCCAUGGACUGGUAAUACCGUACGGCCCAACUAAUCCCUACUGCGGGCUGGGAGCGGCUCGCCCCAAGCGUCACCAGCCUCGGUAAUGCCGGGAUUCGACCCCUGGACGUGGCUCUCCCCCAACUGGGACUACAACCACGGAGCCGAACCCGGAAG
RNAcentral lists this long non-coding RNA (304 nucleotides) under Coffea arabica (coffee). RNAcentral's name for it is "long non-coding RNA (CARA_LNC000725)". Lineage: Eukaryota; Viridiplantae; Streptophyta; Magnoliopsida; Gentianales; Rubiaceae. The record is from RNAcentral.